UUAAGUUCAGCGGGUAUCCCUACCUGAUCCGAGGUCAAACUGUGGGUGUACUUGAUGGACGCCGAUCCGCCAAAGCCUCUAGAAGCGCAAUGUGCUGCGCGAGAAGCUGGCAAGACCGCUGCCAAUGCAUUUAAGGCGAGUCCGCGCACGAAGCGGGACAGACGCCCAACACCAAGCUGAGCUUGAGGGUGUAAAUGACG
RNAcentral lists this unclassified non-coding RNA (200 nucleotides) under Ascomycota sp. RNAcentral describes it as "partial internal transcribed spacer 2". The record is from RNAcentral. Lineage: Eukaryota; Fungi; Ascomycota.